CAUUAAAGAGUUCUAUAACUCCCAAACCCAUGUGAACAUACCUAACGUUGCCUCGGCAGGUCGCACCUACCUUGUAGCACCCUACCCUGUAGGGCCUACCCGGGAGGUGCGGGUAAGCCUGCCGGCGGCCCACCAAACUCUGUUUGAUAUUGAAUUCUGAACCUAUAACUAAAUAAGUUAAAACUUUCAACAACGGAUCUCUUGGUUCUGGCAUCGAUGAAGAACGCAGCGAAAUGCGAUAAGUAAUGUGAAUUGCAGAAUUCAGUGAAUCAUCGAAUCUUUGAACGCAUAUUGCGCCCAUUAGUAUUCUAGUGGGCAGGACCGUUCGAGCGUCAUUUCAACCCUUAAGCCUUCGUUGCUUAGUGUUGGGAGCCUACGGCAACGUAGCUCCUCAAAGUUAGUGGCGGAGUUGGUUCACACUCUAGACGUAGUAAUUUUUUAUCUCGCCUAUUAGUUGGACUAAUCCCCUGCCGUAAAACCCCCAAUUUAUCAAGGUUGACCUCGAAUCGGUUCAGACAAACUCGCUAAAUUGAAGCAUCUUAGUCAGCGAA
This 551-nucleotide ribosomal RNA is filed under the name fungal endophyte. RNAcentral describes it as "eukaryotic LSU rRNA". The stretch from base 182 to 335 matches the Rfam family "5.8S ribosomal RNA". Lineage: Eukaryota; Fungi. The record is from RNAcentral.